Long non-coding RNA from Pipistrellus kuhlii (Kuhl's pipistrelle), 1981 nucleotides. RefSeq lists it as uncharacterized. Lineage: Eukaryota; Metazoa; Chordata; Mammalia; Chiroptera; Vespertilionidae. The transcript is spliced from 2 exons. The record is from RefSeq and is a predicted model, not a curated record.
GGUCCGCUUUGGGGAACUGCUAGCGCAGGCUCGGUUUGGUGUCUCAGCGGGCAGCCAGAGCCAGGGCCCAGCUGCAGGCGGGCACACGCAGCGGGAAGCGUUAACAUAACCGGAGCCGCACGGUGCCUCCGAGGGCGGGAGCGCUGGUGGCCGCCGACCCUGUUGCCGGGACAGCAGUCUUGUGUCAGACAUCUUCUCUUAGUGCGAUUGUUAAGCAGAUAAUCCAGAUUUCUCAAAUAAAAGGGCGAUCAGAACGCGGUAUAACCCCAGAACCAACUCACAGGACGUGGGCAGUUUUGGGGAAAACCUCAGCACUUUGCCAAAAUGGCUGCUGUCUCUGUUACGUAAUGAAAACCCGUAUUAGCCUGCCUUCAGGAAAGCACUAACCAGUACCUACUGAACUUCGAGGAGAGGUGCUUUCAAAGCUGCUAAAAAAUUCCCAAGCGAUGGCUCUGAGGUUUGGUGAGCUGCUUGAUGGUGGACCUAAAAGUGAUUUCCAUUGUUUUUGCCCAAAUGUUCAGCUCAAAUCUACUUGCUAAUGAGUCACAAAUAUCUCUGGGUACAUGGUUUGCGAUUAUUUUGCAUAAACGGUUAGGAAAAAACUAGAAAAGCUUGUAAGCCAGAUUCUAUUUUUAACCUUUCCUAGGGACUACUUUUGCUUCCCUCACAAAGGCUGCGGAGGGUUACUGAGUGCCAACAGUGUGAGUUGUCCCUCGCCCAUAAAUACGCCUCUCCCGGCUCUGCGGCAGGCAUUCAGGCAGCGAGCGCAGAGGUGACUGCUGAGGCUGAGGCGCUACUUGAGGAAACCAGAUAAGUCUAUUCUAUUAAAAAGAGAUAGAAAAUAAUAUUAUUUAGGAAAUGUAAAUAGCGAAGGUGCUUACUGAGAUAUUGCUUAGCAUUAAUAUUUUAACCUUUAUAACAAAGAUCUUAUUUAAGGGAAAAUAUAAUGAAGGCUUGCCUAAAAAGUAGUUUCAGAAAGGAAGAGAGAAGAAAAAUAUUUCCAGAACAUGAAACUUCUUUACGAAGUAAAAAUCAUUUUCAAGAAAAUGGCUGAUAGGAUUGCAAAAGCCUAAACUCAAAUGGAAGGGCAAACUAAAAAUACCAUUAAACCGUAGGUGACAAAAUUGUCAUUUAAAGAAAAUUGGAGAUGGUUAAACUAUAUAUUAAAUGCCGUAUUUAAAAGAGAAAAUUGAAGGUGACUUAAGAGAGACCUUCAAAUUCAUGACGCAGGAAAGAUUGUCCUGUGAAGCCAAAUUGCUCUUACGGCAUUAUUAGCGCAAGAUGGGGCAAUUGUUAAUUUAAAAGUCAGAUAAAAUUUUGGAGAAAGAUUAGAAAUUUGAAAUGGAAAACUUGGAAGACAGAAGUGUACAGGAAGGUGAAGAAAAAGGCUUAGAGAAGACAGAAAAAUAGAAGAUAAAACGUAUUUUAGAAGACAGAAAAACUAAGUCCAAAAGGUAGAAAGCAGAAGAGAAAGUAUUGAGACAAACUAACCAAAGCAACUAAGGGCACAGAUACAAAUGUAGAAAACCAGAAGAUAGAAAACGAAGAUACAGAUUUAAUAGAAAAUAGAAAAUGAGAAGAUAAAAUUUUUUAGCAGAAAAAUGGAAGAUAGAAAAUGAGAUACAGAUUAAGUAGAAAAAUAGAAAAUGAGAAGAUACAAACAGAUAAGUAGAAAAAUAGAAGAUAGAAAAUGAGAAGAUAAAAGUUAAGUAGAAAAACAGAAGAUAGAAAAAAUGAGACAGAUAAGUAGAAAAAUAGAAGAUAGAAAAUGAAGAUACAAGUUUAGAAAAAUAGAAGAUAGAAAAUGAGAAGAUAAAAGUUAAGUAGAAAAACAAGAUAGAAAGUGAGAAGUAAAAAAUAGAAGAUAGAAAAAUAGAAGACAGAUUAAGUAGAAAAAUAGAAGAUAGAAAAUGAGAAGAUACAAGUUAGAAAAGUAGAAGAUAAACGAGAAGAUACAAAUUUAGAAAACUAGAAGAUAGAA